CAUGGCCUGGGGUGUUCGAGGUCCGGUCAAGUUUGAUACCUACAAGCAUUUGAGAGGGAGCGUGAGCAGGAUUGUGGUGUGCAUGCCGGUCCCGAAAGGAUCCGGAAGCCUAAACAUCCUCGAGCGCCAAUACGUGGAAAACGGGUAUCUCAAAUGGCGAUCGGCACGGCAUCCUGGACCUUUU
Molecule: non-coding RNA, 184 nt
Filed under: Leptospirillum ferrodiazotrophum
Lineage: Bacteria; Pseudomonadati; Nitrospirota; Nitrospiria; Nitrospirales; Nitrospiraceae
Also listed under: 1 other name
Description: 6S / SsrS RNA
Rfam family: 6S / SsrS RNA
About the family: E. coli 6S RNA was the first non coding RNA to be sequenced, but its function was unknown until recently. It consists of 184 nucleotides that fold into an extended hairpin structure with a large single-stranded internal bulge. The 6S RNA specifically associates with RNA polymerase holoenzyme containing the sigma70 specificity factor.
Source: Rfam by way of RNAcentral